AGCGCUUGGCCUCUGAGACUACCCGGCAGAAGGGACGUCCCCAAAUGACACUCGGAGGCCGCCUCCCUGGGCUCCGGUGCUCGGUGCCGGGAGGAGCGGCACGGCUUUCUACCCCGCCUCAGGUGCGCCAGCACGUUUUCUGGGCAGCAUCUGUGUGUUAGGCGACCGGAGAGGUGGGUUCCUUAUAGGGAAUAAGAAAACUGAAACUGACUUCCAACUGCAGGCAGAAGGAAGCAGUGGUCAUUGCUGGAGGUUAAAACUGUUCUGACCGGGCGCAGUGGCUCACGCCUGUAUUCCCAGCACUUUGGGAGGCUGAGGCGAGCAGAUCACGAAGUCAGGAGAUCAAGACCAUCCUGGCCAACAAGGUGAAACCCCGGCUCUACUAAAAAUACAAAAAUUAGCUGGGCGUGGUGGCGCGCGCCGGAAGUCCCAGCUACUUGGGAGGAUGAGGCAGAAGAAUCGCUUGAACCCGGGAGGCGGAGGUUGCGGUGAGCCGAGAUCGCGCCAUUGCACUCCAGCCUGGCGACUCAGCGAUACUCCGUCCCCCUCUCCCCGCCCCAAGAAAAAUCUGUUCAGUGGGGAGCGACAAGGAAGGAGCUUUCAGCCCGACUGGGGUCGCAGGGAAGAAUUCAAGAUGGCGUGUUUAGGAGCUCUAGCUCCUUGACAAAUUAGUAAAAUGUUAGUCUUAGGAGAAGAACGAAAAGGCUCUCCUAGGCUAAGAAACAGCAUACACAGUGAGAAACCUCAGAAGAAAUAAAAUUCAAGGAAGAUAGCAACAACGAAAACAUCAGAAGGAACACUAAAGUAGUCAAAUCAGCCUAGCAGAAACAAAGUACGUUAACCAAUGGAAAACUGACGGAGAGAAAUAAACUGUUUUUGCACAGCUAAAUGGAAAUGACUUUUGAAUUAUCUGCUUUGGAAGAUUAUCCAUGACACUGUUCUGCCCUGCUCUGCUCUAACAACAUUUAUUCCCUUGGAGUGUUCUUGUUGUGGAUGAAGCUCACAGGUUGAAAAACCAAAGCUCCCUGCUGCAUAAGACCUUGUCAGAGUAGUCUUCAGUCUCCUGUUGACCGGAACUCCCAUCCAGAACAGCCUCCAAGAGCUCUACUCCCUCCUCAGUUUUGUGGAGCCUGAUCUCUUUUCCAAGGAAGAGGUGGGAGAUUUUAUUCAACGCUACCAGGAUAUUGAGAAAGAAUCUGAGUCAGCAAGUGAACUGCACAAACUCUUGCAGCCAUUUCUGCUGAGGCGAGUGAAAGCUGAGGUAGCUACAGAGCUUCCCAAGAAGACAGAAGUAGUGAUAUACCAUGGCAUGUCAGCAUUGCAGAAGAAAUACUACAAGGCCAUUUUGAUGAAAGACCUAGAUGCAUUUGAAAAUGAGACGGCAAAGAAAGUUAAACUACAGAACAUUUUGUCCCAGCUUCGAAAGUGUGUGGAUCACCCAUAUUUGUUUGAUGGUGUGGAGCCGGAGCCUUUUGAAGUUGGAGACCACCUGACUGAGGCUAGUGGGAAGCUUCACCUGCUGGAUAAGCUACUAGCAUUCCUGUAUUCUGGGCUACAGCUAUGAGCGUGUGGAUGGUUCUGUGAGAGGAGAAGAGAGACACUUGGCCAUUAAGAACUUUGGACAGCAGCCCAUUUUCGUUUUUCUCCUGAGUACUAGGGCAGGUGGAGUUGGCAUGAACUUAACAGCAGCAGAUACUGUGAUUUUUGUUGACAGUGACUUUAAUCCUCAGAAUGACUUGCAAGCAGCUGCCAGGGCUCAUCGCAUUGGCCAAAACAAGUCUGUUAAAGUUAUUCGGCUGAUUGGUCGAGACACUGUGGAAGAAAUAGUCUAUAGGAAAGCAGCCUCCAAACUGCAGCUCACCAACAUGAUCAUAGAAGGAGGCCAUUUUACUCUGGGAGCCCAGAAACCCGCUGCCGAUGCUGACCUCCAGUUGAGUGAGAUACUCAAAUUUGGUUUGGAUAAACUGCUGGCCUCUGAGGGGAGCACCAUGGAUGAAAUAGACCUGGAGUCCAUCCUGGGAGAAACAAAAGAUGGCCAGUGGGUCUCUGAUGCCUUGCCUGCAGCAGAAGGAGGGAGCAGAGAUCAAGAGGAAGGAAAAAAUCAUAUGUACUUAUUUGAAGGUAAAGAUUAUUCUAAAGAGCCCAGUAAGGAAGACAGAAAAUCAUUUGAACAACUGGUAAACCUUCAGAAAACCCUUUUGGAGAAAGCUAGUCAAGAGGGCCGAUCACUCCGAAAUAAAGGCAGUGUUCUCAUCCCAGGCCUUGUGGAGGGAUCUACCAAAAGGAAGCGGGUUCUGAGUCCAGAAGAGCUGGAGGACAGACAGAAGAAAAGACAAGAAGCAGCUGCCAAGAGAAGGAGACUCAUAGAGGAGAAGAAGAGGCAAAAGGAAGAGGCUGAACAUAAGAAAAAGAUGGCCUGGUGGGAAUCCAACAAUUACCAGUCCUUCUGCCUGCCCUCUGAGGAGAGCGAGCCAGAGGACCUUGAGAAUGGGGAAGAGAGCUCUGC
Homo sapiens (human) is the source of this 2506-nucleotide long non-coding RNA. The record is from Ensembl. Lineage: Eukaryota; Metazoa; Chordata; Mammalia; Primates; Hominidae.